UUGAACGCUGGCGGUAUGCUUAACACAUGCAAGUCGAACGGGGGUAGUAAUACCCUAGUGGCGGACGGGUGAGUAAUGCAUGGGAAUCUGCCUGAUAGUGGGGGACAACGCGGGGAAACUCGCGCUAAUACCGCAUACGCCCUACGGGGGAAAGAGGGGGAUCUUCGGACCUCUUGCUAUCAGAUGAGCCCAUGUCGGAUUAGCUAGUUGGUAGGGUAAAGGCCUACCAAGGCGACGAUCCGUAGCUGGUCUGAGAGGACGAUCAGCCACACUGGGACUGAGACACGGCCCAGACUCCUACGGGAGGCAGCAGUGGGGAAUAUUGGACAAUGGGGGCAACCCUGAUCCAGCAAUACCGCGUGUGUGAAGAAGGCCUGCGGGUUGUAAAGCACUUUCAGUUGGAAAGAAAAGCCUGAGGCUAAUAUCCUUGGGUCUUGACGUUACCAACAGAAGAAGCACCGGCUAACUCCGU
Molecule: ribosomal RNA, 472 nt
Filed under: uncultured bacterium
Lineage: Bacteria
Description: bacterial SSU rRNA
Rfam family: Bacterial small subunit ribosomal RNA
Source: RNAcentral